AAAUUGAAGAGUUUGAUCAUGGCUCAGAUUGAACGCUGGCGGCAGGCCUAACACAUGCAAGUCGAACGGUAACAGGAAGCAGCUUGCUGCUUCGCUGACGAGUGGCGGACGGGUGAGUAAUGUCUGGGAAACUGCCUGAUGGAGGGGGAUAACUACUGGAAACGGUGGCUAAUACCGCAUAACGUCGCAAGACCAAAGAGGGGGACCUUCGGGCCUCUUGCCAUCAGAUGUGCCCAGAUGGGAUUAGCUAGUUGGUGAGGUAACGGCUCACCAAGGCGACGAUCCCUAGCUGGUCUGAGAGGAUGACCAGCCACACUGGAACUGAGACACGGUCCAGACUCCUACGGGAGGCAGCAGUGGGGAAUAUUGCACAAUGGGCGCAAGUCUGAUGCAGCCAUGCCGCGUGUAUGAAGAAGGCCUUCGGGUUGUAAAGUACUUUCAGCGGGGAGGAAGGUGUUGUGGUUAAUAACCACAGCAAUUGACGUUACCCGCAGAAGAAGCACC
RNAcentral lists this ribosomal RNA (504 nucleotides) under Salmonella enterica. RNAcentral's name for it is "bacterial SSU rRNA". It matches the Rfam family "Bacterial small subunit ribosomal RNA", at positions 1 to 494 of the family's 1533-position model. Lineage: Bacteria; Pseudomonadati; Pseudomonadota; Gammaproteobacteria; Enterobacterales; Enterobacteriaceae. The record is from RNAcentral.